AGAGCGAACGCUGGCGGCAGGCCUAACACAUGCAAGUCGAGCGCCCCGCAAGGGGAGCGGCAGACGGGAGAGUAACACGUGGGAACGUACCCUUCAGUUCGGAACAACCCAGGGAAACUUGGGCUAAUACCGAAUACGUCCGUAAGGAGAAAGAUUUAUCGCUGAAGGAUCGGCCCGCGUCUGAUUAGCUAGUUGGUGGGGUAAUGGCCCACCAAGGCGACGAUCAGUAGCUGGUCUGAGAGGAUGGCCAGCCACAUUGGGACUGAGAGACGGCCCAGACUCCUACGGGAGGCAGCAGUGGGGAAUCUUGCGCAAUGGCCGCAAGGCUGACGCAGCGACGCCGCGUGGGGGAGGAAGGGCUUCGGGCUCGUAAACCCCUGUUGCCCGGGGCGAACAUCCCUUUUCGAGGGGACUGACGGUACCGGGUGAGGAAGCACCGGCUAACUCCGUGCCAGCAGCCGC
This 462-nucleotide ribosomal RNA is filed under the name uncultured bacterium. RNAcentral's name for it is "SSU rRNA". It matches the Rfam family "Bacterial small subunit ribosomal RNA", at positions 26 to 518 of the family's 1533-position model. The record is from RNAcentral.